CUGUGCUUCAUACCUCUGGCUGAGAUUUAUCAGGAAUCGGGAUCUGAUGCCAUUACGUUUUCAGAAACGGUUGACGAAAUAAGACAUUCAUACAUCACCGAGACCGUUGAGGAACGUAGGGCAAUGUGCCAACUACAAGAUCAGGAAUAUAGUGCUUCAUUGUUGGCAGACAGA
Long non-coding RNA from Sinocyclocheilus rhinocerous, 174 nucleotides. RefSeq lists it as uncharacterized. NCBI's taxonomy places the organism in Eukaryota, Metazoa, Chordata, Actinopteri, Cypriniformes, Cyprinidae. The record is from RefSeq and is a predicted model, not a curated record. The transcript has 3 exons.